RNAcentral lists this ribosomal RNA (497 nucleotides) under uncultured bacterium. RNAcentral describes it as "partial 16S ribosomal RNA". It matches the Rfam family "Bacterial small subunit ribosomal RNA", at positions 28 to 507 of the family's 1533-position model. The record is from RNAcentral.
GAUGAACGCUGGCGGCGUGCCUAAUACAUGCCAGUCGAGCGAACGGACGAGAAGCUUGCUUCUCUGAUGUUAGCGGCGGACGGGUGAGUAACACGUGGAUAACCUACCUAUAAGACUGGUAUAACUUCGGGAAACCGGAGCUAAUACCGGAUAAUAUUUUGAACCGCAUGGUUCAAAAGUGAAAGACGGUCUUGCUGUCACUUAUAGAUGGAUCCGCGCUGCAUUAGCUAGUUGGUAAGGUAACGGCUUACCAAGGCAACGAUGCAUAGCCGACCUGAGAGAGUGAUCGGCCACACUGGAACUGAGACACGGUCCAGACUCCUACGGGAGGCAGCAGUAGGGAAUCUUCCGCAAUGGGCGAAAGCAUGACGGAGCAACGCCGCGUGAGUGAUGAAGGUCUUCGGAUCGUAAAACUCUGUUAUUAGGGAAGAACAUAUGUGUAAGUAACUGUGCACAUCUUGACGGUACCUAAUCAGAAAGCCACGGCUAACUACGUG